CAAUAAAGAGGAAAGAAAUCUGAAGGAAAAUGGAUGGAUCUGGAGAUCAUCAUGUUGCAUAAAGUAAGGCAGACUCAGGAAGACAAAUAUAAUAUGUUCUUUCUAAUAUGCAAAACCUACAAAAGAAGACAAGGAGAAGAAGGGACUCAGGAGGAGGGGUGUAAGGGCAGGUAAUGGGGGGAUGCAGAUGAUCAUAAUUGAUUGACCCCCCCCAAAGAAUAUGAAACCAGAGGGGAGACCUGGGCAAGGAGGAUGGGGGUGAACACGACCGAGGUGAGUUCUGCAUAAGUAUGAAUCUGUCCAGAUGAAACCACUAAUCUGUAUAGCCACUACGCACUAAUAAAAUAAAAGUGUGAAAGAGAAGAACUCACCCGUUACAGGUGAACAGCUCGGCAUUUUAGUGUGUUCACUGAGUUGUGCAAUCAUCAUCGCCAUCUAAAGCCACAACAGUAAGAACCUGCCUGCCGGGAAGUCCUGCACCCACCACCUUCAGUCACCGGUUCCCCUGUCCCAGCCCUCAGCAGCUACUCAUCUCCUCUCUGUGCAUUCACACGUGCACAUUCUGCACAUGGAAUCGGAGUUUGACUGUAAGGGCAAAGCAGCUUGUGACUUUUUCACUUAGCAAACUAUGCUCAAGCUUCAUCCGCGUUGUAGCACGUUCAUCCCAGUAGGUACAAAGCGGUAGCUUAUUGUGGCUUAAAUUUGCAUUUCCCUGACGGAGAAAGACGUUGUGCAGCUUUCCAUGUGCUUAUUUGGAAGCUCAAAUUCUCAUUUGUACAUUAUGACGAGAUCUUUGUGGAGGAGUGGCUAAAGUUUUCUGAAAUAUACUCUAUGUGAACAUUUUGUAUGGUCACCAGAACUUCUAUUCAACUUGCUGACUGACCUGACCUCAACGUCUCACUGCUACUACUCUUCCCAGCCUCUGGGGCAGAAAAUCAAAUCAAGCCUAUUGAAAGCUGCAGUGUAAUUGAAAAACCAAACAACCAAAAAACAAAACAAAACAAUAACAAAAUAAACCAAACUCCCCAAAGCUACCAACUUUUUAUAAAGACUUGGUUGCUUGUUUUCCUGCCAUGUAGCUCCAUGGGAGAAGAAAUCAUCACAUUCCCCUGUGCAGUGUAAAUGUUACUUCUGGGCACAUCUUUCGUCAGUACUUUUGUGGUGAGCCACCGUGACUAGAUAGCGUGUAUUGAAAUCUUUGGUUUUCCUGGUACAUUUCAAAGAAAAAGGGACUCCUGCAAAACAGCUGCUCAGAAUUUUCAGUUACUUCUUACUCUAAUGCUGCCUUUUCAGGUGCCUCACCGGUUUCCCAGGAAAAACUGCAGCAUGUAUUUUAUAACACUGCCCUAGGUCAUUGGUUUUUUGAAGAUCUGCCAAAUUUCCCAAGUCACCAAAACAAAUCUCUGGUUCAACCUGUAAACCUUGAGUUUCUUGCAUUUUCAAAAGACUUAAAUCUUUUCUCUUCAACCACCUACAUUCCAGGCAGUGUUACAGGUCAUUCUGAGAGCACAUCCCAUGCCAAUGUGGUGCCUCAUGGUGUCACUUAACCUUGUGGCAAAACACUGUGCUAGACAAUGAGUUUUAGCUGCUUUU
Non-coding RNA from Heterocephalus glaber (naked mole-rat), 1593 nucleotides. Lineage: Eukaryota; Metazoa; Chordata; Mammalia; Rodentia; Bathyergidae. The record is from RefSeq and is a predicted model, not a curated record.